Molecule: long non-coding RNA, 6607 nt
Filed under: Sus scrofa (pig)
Lineage: Eukaryota; Metazoa; Chordata; Mammalia; Artiodactyla; Suidae
Description: lncRNA (ENSSSCG00000057816.1)
Source: RNAcentral
AAAAAUCUGAGCAACCAAGUGGGAGCUCCAGAAAAUCAAACAUGAGGCAUUUCCAACCUUAGGGAAUCAAGGUACAUUUGCGGGGGGGGAAAGCAUGAAACUCUGAGUAUUAGGAAUAUCCUGCAGCAAACAGCCAUAGCCUUUGACAUCUGCCACAUAAGGGGACAAGUGAUAGCUAUCCUUUAUGAAGCACUUAAUAUAUGCAGACUACAAUGCACUGCCUCCUGCUUCCCCACGCACACACACCAAAUAACCCCAUGGAGACCAAUUUACAGAUUAAGGAACAAAAGUGUUGCAGGAAGGGGGACCCCUUCCAGGGCCUGGGCUCUUGUCUCAUACUCAGAAAUGAACUGAGGAAACACAUGUGCUGACAAAGCAAGAGACUUUAUUGGGAAGGGAUGCCCAGGUAGAGAGCAGCAGGGUAAGGGGACCCAGGAGAACUGCUCUGUCAUGUGGCUCAAAGUCUCUGGUUUUAUGAAAAUGGGCUUAUUUUCCGCUUUGUCUCUGGCCAGUCGUCUUGCUGGGCCCAUACUUGGUCUGGCUAAGGAUCCUUCCUGAUGGCACGUGCAUCUCUCAGCCAAGAUGGAUUCCAGUGCCAAGGAUCCUGGGAGGUUGGUCCUCUCUGCCCUCCCAUUGGCCUCCUCCUGGUUAGUCUUCAGGGUAGCACCACGUUCCUCAUCAGGGCCUCCUGUUUUGAGACAAUUCAUGCAUCAUGCGAGUGGCUAUUAUUGUGCCUGGCCAAGGUGGGCAGUUUCAGUCAGUGAUCCCCUAACAGGAGUACAGAGCGGUUAAGUAACUUGCCCUAGGCUGGCCAGCCAGCCAGCAGGCAGAGCUGGCCUGGGAGAGAAGGCAGUUGGACCCCAGAGCCUGCACUCUUCACCCAAAUUUCCUUUCGGGGAACUCCCACUGUGCAUGGCAUUGGGGAGCCACCCAUGAGCAUCGCCUUUCCUAACUCACACCAGGCCAACUGGACUUCCUGGCCUAGAAUGUUGACUCCUAAAUGUUGUGACACAAAUAGAAGAAAGUUAAGCAGAAAUGGUUGACAAAUUUUCCUUCAAGCAGAGGCAUUCAGACUCCUUACAUUGCCCUGGGUCCCACUUUCCUGUCCAUUCUACCAGCUGCCUCUUUUCACACCAAUAAACUAGAUAAGCUUCUGCUUAGGUAAGUCAUUGUUCGUUUCCCGGCUUGCAAGCAGAGAAUCCCAGUACAGAAAAUACCCAGGAAGGGAAUUACAGACAUCUUGGGCCCUAUGGGCCUCUUAUAGCAGCUAGAGAGUCAGUCUGUGGAGCAGGGAAGGCCAAAAGGUAUGAAGACUGGCCUCAGACUCAAUUGACGAAUGAGGGGAAGGGAAUAAAAGCCACUGAGGCUUCUAUCUCCAAAUGUUUGGAGAAGAUAUGACUUGCAUGUUCCCGGAAGUGCCUAGGCUUGCACCACGCUGCCUGGAUUUAAACAGUGGCUCUCUUACCAGCUGCAUAACUUUGACAAGCUAUUUAAUGCCUCUGAACCAGUUUCCUCUUCUUGAACAGAGUGUAUAUUAAUAUCUGCUUUGCAGAGUUGAUGGGAGGACCCAAUGAACUAACAGGGUAUUUCAUCACUUCAAUGGUGUACAUUUCCCGCAUUUUAUCUUCUCUAAAAAUUGGAAGGUGGCUUACAAUGGAUAAAAAAUAUUGAUGAUUGGAUGGAAUGUUUUUUUUGUUGUUGGUGGUGGUGGUGCAUGAAAUAAAAGUAAGUUAUUGCUGUCAUCUUAGAUUCAGUGAUAGAAUAUGCCUGGAUUUAUGGCUUAAAAUGUUAGGAACUAUUGUUCUUAUUUAUAUCACCAGCUUGUAGCACAUCAUAAGCACUCAGUAAUUGUGGGCUCAGAGAAGAUCCCUCAUGAGCUUGAGCCUGACCUGAAGGUACAUUUGAACAUCUAACCCAGAAGAGGUCAGGGAAAGGUCACAUUUGGGCUCUCUUUCUGGGGAGAGAGGUCAUUACAAACCUACAAAGAGGAAGAAAUUAUGAAACUCUGGCUGCAAUAAAUCAGUCUGGACAGGUUGUCUGUGUUUUCAGGGAAUUCUGCAAACAUGUUUCCCCUUGGUUCCACAUUUGCAAUAUAACACCACUGACCCCUCCACCACUGCUUCCUGGUCCACCGAAGAGUCAACCAGACCAAAGGUAGCAACCAGGAAGUGGACAGUAAGUGAUUGUUUCAUUCCCAGGCUCUGCUGGACCCAUGAUAAGCCCUUUCUAAAUUCUAUCAAUCAUCAGCUUGGCCACAAAAUUGGGCAUCUGCAGCUCUCUGAUUGUCGUUGAGGUAACUGUCCAGAUCACAACACUUUUUAUCAGAUUUUAUUGUCUCGGACCUAGAGGUGCAAUUCUAUAUGGGCUUUCAGUUCACCUGGGCAUCUUUAUCAAUGUUUACUCAUGUAAAAUAGUUGACCAGGGAGAGAAAAGUACUGCAUGAUAACUAAGAGAGCAUGUAAAUGCCCGAGUUCAUAUCGUCACUCCUAAAUCCGUGACCAAAUAAGAAAUCUACGCAACUCUUUCAGCCUCAGUGAUUUCAUCUGUAAGAAUAAUAAUAGUUAGCAAAAUUGUGUACCAGGCACUACUCUGUGUGGCGAACACACGACUGCUUAUUUGAUCCUCACAAUCAUCUCUGAAAUGGGUAUCCUAUUAACAUCCUCCUUUAACAGAUGGAGAGAAGGAUGCUUCAAGAGGUCCUGUCACUUGCCCAGUGUCACAGCUAGACAGUGGCAGACCGGCUGCCUGGAGUGCAUCCUCUUGACUACAACUCUAUGUUGUAUUCUAAACCUGAUUGAUGCCUCCUUGAUAGCAAGAGUAUGUUAAAAUUAAAUGAGAUAAUCAAUGCAAAGCAUGUAGCUCAGGGAUAGGCUUUAUACACCCAAUAAAAUUUGGCAGCUGUUAUGACAGCUUUCAUUUACCAAACACUGAUCAUGUGCCACACGCUUCUAUGUCCCUGACCAUGCAGCCUCUCUCGUCUUCACAAUGACCCAAGGAAAUAAGAAUUAUUAUUAUCCUCCUCUUAACAAUGAAAAGCUAGGUUCAUAGAGGAUUUGUCCUUACAAAUUACUAUGUACCAGUCACCUUUGCAGGUACCGGGCGAGAGUGACUUGCCCCAGGGCACACAAGGAUUGACUGGGUAUGUCUCCCUGAUUUCAAGACCCAUUCUCUCUCCAUUAAACCCAUGGCUCCAACAACAGGCUCUAUCUAUCUGGAAAGGGUGCCAAGAUCAUUUCAAGGGGACCAGGCAAGGCUGGGGUUCUGUUGUGGACCAUGAUAAUCAAAAAAUAGGAGUUGUUCCCAGCAUAUAAUGAACUGCCCUAGAAUUGAUCAUACAUUGCCAGUAUAAGAAGGGACCUUGGCAGUUCCUUGGUUCCAGGCUUCUCUUCGCAGUAAAAGAAGGGAGAUUGGAGACCUGCCCAAGGGAUGCAGUUCCUCAGCAGAGCCAGAGCAAAACCCCAUGGGUUCCCAGCCGAAUCAUCCUUUUUUGCCAACCACUCAACACAAAGAGAGGAUGGUAAGCUGCACCAAAGGGCUUCCAUUCAAGUCUUUUAAUAUGCAGUUUAUUUUGGCAUCCUAAAGGCUGUACAUGUUUGCUAUAGAAAAUUGGGAAAAUACAGAAAUGGAGAAAGUUGUGACAAAAAUAAAAUAUCCUGUUUCCCACCACCCAGAGAGCUGUAGAUAACUUGGCAUGUUUCCUUCUAGGCCUCUUCCUAUGCAUAGCUUUUUGUUUGUUUUGUUUUUAGUUUGUAGAUACUUGUGAAGGCACUGUGUAUGCAAUUUGUUACCAGCCUUCCCACUUAAAUUAUAAAUAUUUUCCCAUGUUAUUACAGACUCUUCAUAAACAAUUUUCCUUUUCAAUAAUGAAAUGCUAUAGUUUCCUGCUCUAUUCCUACACCCUACUCUCCCACACACUGGCACCUAUUGAGGUCCCCUUGGGAACCACUUUAAACCAUCUGUAUUUAAAGUUUCUCUGACUGUUACCUCCAUAUAGCUCAAUAAUAUGUGGCUUCUAGAUUUUUCUACUUUGAGAAUUGUCUGUUGAAUUUCUGCUAUGAUGGAUGGCAACUGAGCUUAUUUAUACAAACACCACCAGAUACAUCCUUUCCCCUGCAUCUUCUCCCAAUAAUUAUGACUUAUAUUUUAAUUCCCUCCUUAGUUACCAUUAUAAUAAAUAGCAUAGUGUAACCUCACUUUUUAUUUCUAUUAAUUACAUAGAGUUUUUAUUUGGGUUUAGAUUUUAACAUUUUGCAAGAUAAAGAUCUUGUUUUCCUCUCUGACCCUCCUCAACUUUUGCUAACUAUAGUUUUUCUUUUGUCGGUUGUGAUAAUGUUUAUGUUAUCUCCUUAAUCCAUAAUUAAGACACUAAUGCUUUCUUUAUAGGCUGAUUCUUGAACUUGAAAACUAAUAGGCAACCUUUACAUUAUUUUGAAGAAUGAGAAUCACUUAUGACUGCAUAAUAUUCCAUAGUAUGGUUGGCCCUCAAUUUCCCCAUCCAGUAAAUGUUUACAUUGGAUUCAAAGAGGCUUUAUCCUCAUUAUUUCUAUUAUAAAUUAUGCUGUGAUGAAAGUCUUUGAUUUUUUUGUGCAUAUGUCUGAAUCAGCUUCUCUGAUGGUUUCUUUAGGAGAGACAGAUACCCAGUAGUUGCCAGUAGGGUGCCUGACGUAUUGUAAACUCUUAAUCAGUAUUUGUCAAAGUAAUAGAUGAAGUGUGGCAGCUGUGAACAGUUUCAAGACUCUUGAAAUACCACAAAACUACUUUCAGGAAGUACUCUAAAUAUUCACCACUGAAUGUCCAUGAAACCCAUGAUUGAGAGUGGGGAUAAGAGGAAUAGGAUAUUAGCUCAUUUGAAAAAAGAAAAAAGUGGGAGGUUGUGACAUUGGAAGGGGUCAAGUAGGGUCAGCAAAUUAUGUCCCACUGGCCAAAUCUAGCCCACCAAUUGUUUUCAUAAAUAAAGUUUUACUGGAAUACAGUCAUGACCAUUUGUUUGUAAAUUCAGUGGCUGCUACAGCAGCUCAGUGAAUCACUGUAACAAAAACCAAAUGGCCCAUGAAGCCUAAAAUAUUUACAGUCUGGACCUAUGGAGAAAUAUUAGUAGAUUUCUGGGCUAGGAGAUAUGGAAGAAUAAAACUGGUGUAUGCUGGUUUCUUAUCCCUCUUCCUGGACAUUCUUUCUGAAACCCACUGUUAUUACAGGAGGAAAAUAACAAACAGUUGUAAAAUUUUAAUACGUUACAAGUAGGGUACAAAGGACUUUACAUAUUAUUAACUCCUUGAAUUUUCACGACAAACUAUGAAGUAGUUGCUAUUGUUAUCCAAACCUCUUUUUUUGGUAGAUGAGGAAACUGACAUCAAAUGACUUGCACAGGAUUAUAACUCUGGGAAGUGGUGGAGGGAGGAAUCCUGCCUGGAAGGCAGACUCCAGAGCCUGUGUUUCUAACUGCUUUAUUAUACCGCCUCUUAGAGAAAUGAGAGCAGAAGGGAUCAAAAAGAGCCAGCUCUGUUCACUUGUAAAUACAAACUUUCUGUUCUCUUGGCUCAGUCAUCUUCUUUAUUUACUGCCCUAAUUCCUCUAGGUGGUCUAGCAACACUGCUUAAUCAACAUGACUCAGCCUAGAGCUGAUUUAAACCUUCUCCAAGUCACCUGACCUGAGAUGAACCAAUCAGAGUCCUUUCCUUCCUAGGAACUGAAAGGAUGAGAAAGCCAAUCUCUUCAUGGGGCUGGGCUUGAAAUAUGUAUCGUAGAACCUACUUAGGAUGGUCAGAUAAAAUAGAGAAUUCCCACUGAAAUUUCAAUUUCUGAUUAAAAAAAUAAAUAAUUUUCUACAUAAGUAUAUAAAUAUUGAAUAGGACACAUGCUAAAAAAAUUCCUCAUUUUUAAUCUGAAAUUCAAAUUUAACUGAGUGUAGUACAUAUACAUAUACAUCUAUAUAACACAUACUAUAUAAAAUAUAAAAUAUAUAACAUAUUAUGCAUAAAUAUAUAUAUAUAUAUUUCUAAAUCUGGUAGCCAUAUGAAAACCCUUAUUUUGGAGAAGUUUGAAUGCAGAACAGGAGAGAUUAAGCAGAUAUACAGAGAAGAAGUGACAGAAGAGAGGCAGUAUCUCUCAGAUCCUGGCUCAGUUCCUUCCUACAUUCUCAGCCUUGGGUUCCAUUAGGCUUGCACUUACAACCAGAACACCCUUAGAAUAUAACCCUUCAGCAGAAAAUGUGCAUGUCCAAGUGUCAGUGUUAUUAAUGAUACUGCAGUGGAGUUUAGACGCAAUAUUCAAAUCCAUCUCUCCAUUUUUUUCUAGAACUCUUCAAAAUAGUCUGGUUUACAUGGACACACAUGUCCACAAAAAUAUUCUUUCUUCCAUCUCCAUCUUACUGAUUUAGAAUUUCUCUGUUGGAGUUCCCAUUAUGGCUCAGUGGUUAACAAAUCCGACUAGGAACCAUGAAGUUGUGGGUUCGAUCCCUGGCCUUGCUCAGUGGGUUAAGGAUCCAGUGUUGCCAUGAGCUGUGGUGUAGGUCACAGACGUGGCUUGGAUCCCGCGUUGCUGUGGCUGUGGCCUAGGCCAACGGCUGCAGCUCUGAUUAGACCCCUAGCCUGGGAACCCCCAUAUGCUG